UAUAAUGAUGUUCAGAUGAAGGGUCAUGAAGGACAUACCUUCAUCAUUUUAACAUAUGAAUGUGAAUAUAAAUAAGAAAGUAAAGGAACACAAAAGAAUAAAAAUUAUGAUGACAGUAUAUCAAUGAUCUAUUCAUUCUUAUAUUUUAUAAACAUGAAUAAACAUCAAUAAUAUUCAUGUUACAUGGGUACCUUCUGCUUGCCAGAAGGUAAGGGUGCGAGAAUGACGCGAGAGUAAUUACAAUCCAGCGUGAACAGUACGGGGUUACUGUUCAUCUAUUUUAUAGGCACGGGAUGUAGCCCGAGUAAAAGUACAUUUAUGUCCCUGGUAACAAUCUAUAAUAUUAACAAGAAUUAUUAAGGACUGUAUGAUCUUUAUCCUUUUUCAAUCGUUAUCAUACUUGAGCUUCGUCAACAUGUUCAGCCGAAGUCCUUUAGCUUCUAGCUUCGUCACCCACUCUUUAUUUUCCUUCGUUCUGUUAUAAGAGAAGUUCUCCAUCCCAAAGCCGAAGCUUCCUGUAACUAGCUGAAAACAUAUGGUUAGUCACAUUUUUGAGGACCUUCGGAAGAGGAAGGCCCCCAACAGUAGCCCCUCGCAGUAUUAAUUUGUUUCCUUGUAAUAAAUUUAGACUGCGACGUGAAUGAAGGCCUUUAGCCGAAGGUUCAAAAAAACACCUUCCCUUCGCUAGAAUAGCGAACGACACUAACAUGUCGGACCCACCAAAUCGUGGGGCGCUAGGCAUAUAAACAGGAACUCGUAUUAAAAGCAUUUUUUAUGCCAUCACAGUUGCUUACACUGUGCUUGCCAUUUUAGACUUUCUUGCUUUGUCGAGUUUUGAUCGGAUUUUAAGCUUCGGCAUUUCAACAAGCUUUGAUUUGAUGGCUGGCAAGACGAAGACUGUCGACCCGACGUUGUCCGAGUUUUACGAAGCUAUGGAAAGAACCAAUGCAGAAAAGAUAUCACAUGAGACACUAGCUGGGAUAUCUGAGGGUUCCAGUCAUAGUGAAGACUUUGAUGUAGAAAGUGAGAAUGAGGGUGCCGAAGAUCAGCCCUGGAGACCAAGUCAUGUUGUCUUCGAGAAAUCAACCAUCAAGCAAGGACAAAUUAAUGCAAUGAGGGGAAGGUACUUCCGUGACAUUUCUAUUGUGAGGGCUGGAGGGGAGAAUAAUGUCCCUCUGCCCGAAGCUGACGAGGUGGUUGUCUAUAGAAGCUUCAUGAAAGUAGGGCUUCGGUUUCCUCUGGAUAAGAUGUUGGUCGAAGUGCUGAAAACCUUCGAAGUUUACCUUCAUCAACUUACCCCCAAAGCCAUCAUCAAGAUGGGGAUUUAUAUUUGGGCCACGAGGAGCCAAGGGCUAGAACCAAAUGUUAAAUGCUUCUGCAACAUGCAUGAAUUGUCUUAUGAGACGAAGGCCACAGGAAAAGAGCAAUAUCACAACAACUUUGGUUGCUAUGGCUUCGUAACCCGCUCUAAAGUGAGCAACCGAGUUCCAACAUUUCGCAAGAGAUGGCCGGGAGCCUGGAUGCAAGAAUGGUUCUAUGUGAAGAAUGAUCUGGUUGAAAGGGAAGACAUCAAGGGGAUUAUCCAACGUCCUAUAUGGUCUCACUUCGGCAUCAGGAGACCAUCCCUUGCCCUUGGGAGUGACAUACAAGUGUGCCAAGCUGCUUUUAACACAGUAUGCACUUACAUACGCACCAGGGACUUAGUCCAGGAGCAUAUUGCCUACAAAGUGUGGCCACUCGGAAGUGGGUGGGAGAUGCCGAAGGAGGCUGCUGCUAGGUCUUGCCAAGGUGGCUUGGUUUAUUUGAAGUAUACAUUCAAAUACAGGAGCCAAUUUGAUGAGCCAAACGAUGACUGGCUAGAUGCCCUUGAAGCAACCAGCGAUGAAUUACUUGGUGCUUAUUCAAGGGCCAAAGAUGAUGCUAUGAUGGCGGCCUUCGAAGGUCGAGGCAAGAAAAGGCUGAAUAGGAUUUUUGAUGUCAUUGGUUUCGUAUACCCAGAUUACUAUUAUCCUUCACAAAAACAAGGAAAGAAAAGAAGAGUUGCUGCUUCGGCGAUUUCUACUACGCCGAAGCCGAAAAAAGUUAAAGUCUUGACACAUCGCCCCAAGCGUGCUGAGGCGGCCGAAGAGCCGAGGCCUGCUGAAGGGUCUUCUGCUUUUGAGUCAAGUCACCCCGCUCCUGCCAAAGCCAAGACAGAAACAGCCGAAGAGGCAGGACCGAAGAUAGCGUCGAAGCAGCUGAAAGUUUUGAGUCCAUUACAAGAGACAGAACCACCGAGGGUACCAAAGAUUGCUUCAGUAACUCCAAAGAGAAGAAGAAUGGCCAGCGUAUUAGACGUUGUUAUAGAAUCUGUAAUGGCGUCGACUUCUGCCUCAACACCUGCUACCGAGGCGAAGCCCUAAAGAAAUCUAGCGAAGCUACCAUAGCGCAGACUACUGCUGAUGCUGGACCAUGAGAGCACCUAGAGGGGGGGUAAAUAGGUGAUCCUAUAAAACCAAACACUAAUAGCCACAAAACUUAGAUUAAAGAGUUAGUACGGCUAAGUAGCUUUGAAGCGAGUUCUUGUGAACACAACAAUCACAGAGAAAGCAACACAAGUGACACGCGUUUUUUAUCCCGUGGUUCGGCCAAGUAAUACUUGCCUACUUCCAUGUUGUGGCGUCCAAAUGGACGCGGGUUGCACUCAACCCCUUUCAAGUGAUCCAAUGAUCAACUUGAAUACCAUGGCUUUCUUCCUUAUAGUCUUUCUCCCGUUUGCAAGGAAUCUCCACAAGUUGGAGCCUCUCUCCCUUACAAUAAAGAUCACAAAGAAGGCACAAGAGUAAAGUUGGGAGAAGCAACGCACACACAACACAAUUCCACAGCACACACACGCACACAAGUCAAGACUUGAGCUUGAAACGUAGCACAGGGAGUUCACAACUCGAACGGAGCUCAAAUCACUAACACAUUCGAUCAAAUGCGCAGAGGCGGAGUGUGGGAGUCUUAGAAUGCUUAGUGAAUGCUUGGGUGUCUCCUCCAUGCGCCUAGGGGUCUCUUUUAUAGCCCCAAGGCAGCUAGGAGCCAUUGGAGACAAACUUGGAAGGUCAUCGUUGCCUUCUGUCGAGUGGCGCACCGGACAGUCCGAUGCGCCACCGGACAGCUACUGUAGUCUGUCCGGUGCGUGAUUGCCUUGCAAAUCGGGCACAGACGACCGUUGCAGCUCCGGGCCCGUUGGCGCACUGGACAGUUCGGUGCCACCCAUCGACCGUUGGAGCUGCCACGCGUCGCCCGCAGAUUUCACGGUCGACCAUUGGCUCACCGGACAGUCCGGUGCACCACCGGAUAGUCCGGUGAAUUUUAGCCACGUCGCCUUUCUUCAUUCCCGAGAGCAACGAGUUCGCCGCGGAUGACCCACCGGACAGUCCGGUGAAUUAUAGUCGUACACCGUCGUCGAUUCCUGAGAGCAGCGCUUUCACCGGAGACCAGCCUGGCGCACCGGACAAUGUCCGGUGCACCACCGGACAGUCCGUUGUGCCAGACUUAGCUAAAGUUUGGCUGCAUAGAGCCAAGUCCUUUCCAUUUCUUUUCUCUUUCCUUUGUCAUUGUUUCUAGCACUUAGACAAACACAUUAGCAUUCAAAAAACAAUGUACUAAGUCUAGAAACAUACCUUGUGCCUUGAUUUGUACUUCUCACUUUAUUGGGCACAUAAGAACUUAAUCAUACAUGUUGGACAUUUAAUCACCAAAACAUUAUGGAAAUGGCCCAAAGGCACAUUUCCCUUUCAGACCAUCAGUCCCCGCCGAAGCAAAAUCUUCGAAGGCUGCUGAAGAAGGUACCAAACCAAGACCUUCGGAGGGUGCUGGAGCGCCAUUAAUGUUGGAAAAAGAAUGUGCUGAAGAAUCUGAAUCUCCUACCCCAGAGCGUCUAUUGAAGAAUUGGAAUUCAUAGUGCGACAUGCUUCGGGGAAAAGUUAUCGAAGGAGCAAAUUGCCGAAGCACAACAUUAUGCCAAAGAUCUGAAGUACCCUCGAGGGUCCUUGGUGUAUAGUGGCGAUGACGAAGAUGACUUCCUUUAUUGUCUGCCAGACAAUAAGGAGAUACAUGUCUGUCGGGAGAUGGCAGAUAAUGUAGGAUAUCCGAAGCUUGAACUAGGCAUGUCUGCAAUGACGAAGGACCAGUUUGCAGACAACCUUGCCUAUAACAGUCUGAAGGUGAGAAUAUUGUAACUUGUUGGAAAAUAUAUUAUUUUUGUAGUUUAUUUCUUUAUCAGUAUGUGCUCAUCCUUUGUUUUUGUAGGGCUUAAUUCUGAGCAAGGCCUUAAGGGUCCAGAAGAAAGCAGAAGAUGAAAGCUGUCAGCUGGCUCUUGGAAAUCUUCGAUCAGAGGUUAUUACACUGAGGAAUGAAUCUCUUGAAAAAGAAAAAAUACUGCUCUCCUUAGUUGAUUGGCUGAAAACCAGCGAGGCUAAACUUAACGCACAAGCCGAAGCUCACAAAGCCGAGGUUGAAGAUUUACAGAAAAAACUUGCUGAAAUAAAUGAAAAUUUCGAAGUUGUGAAGGCUAAGCAAGAAAUAAGUGAAAUGGAAAGAGCCAGGGUGCAGAAGAAUAUUGAAGAACUUUGGGAUUCUAAAGAAAAAUGCUAUGAAGUAUCCAUGGAAUGCGCAAAGAAACUGAAAGAUAGCUCCACAAAGGUGGGAGAAUAUUCAUCAGAGCAAAAAUUUAUCCGUGGUGAUCCCGAAGGGGUUAUCCAGUGGAUCGACGAAGAGGUCGAAGCUUUUGAAGAAAUUCUCAGCGACCAUGGGGACUUUUGUGCCUUCGCCGGUGCACGAGGGGUUGCAGCAAUUUUGGAAAAACCGGCUGCGAACAUGUUAAGGCUGCAGCCCAAGCAGAAGCCAUCUUCUCAAUAGAUGACACAAAGGAACCUUCGGCCGAUGCUUCUUUGAUUGGCGGGAAAAUCUAUUCUGAUGUUUGGAUGAAGGGUGGCCGUGAGAUGGCCGAUGAAGCCAUAAAAAAGAGUGAAAAAGAAUCUCACGAUGCCCGAGAAGAGGCAAAGCAAGCAGAAGAAGCCACUGAACGCGCAAUGAUUAUAGGUAUCCUUUUAAAGCUUUUUUUGCCUUGUUGUUUGUUUCUUGCUUCGAAAUUCACCAUUACGUUCUUCAUUACAGCCGGCCUUUCGCCACCACCGGAGCCAUACAACCCUAAGGCUGACCCAGCUAUGAAAGAGGCUUUGGAUGUGAUGAAGAUUGCUAACGAAGUCAUCGACGAAGUUGUUGACAGACAAUUACAUGAAGCCGCUGAGAAGAUUCUAAAAGAAUAUUAAAUUCUUGUAUGCUAGAAACUGUAAAUGCUUGUGUGUGGUUGCCGCCAUGUGCACGGGACAAACAUCAAUUAUUUGUGUGUAAAUUAAUGAAAUUAAUGUAAUAUAUUUUUCUUUGUGAUGCCUAAAACUGACAUACGUAUCGUUUUUUAGCCUUCGGCAAAAAAACACCUUUCCUUCUUUUCAUGCUUCGCAAAGAAAGAUUGCCCCCUCGAUCGAUUGAAUGCUACAUGCUUUGUCACAACUUUUGUAUAAUAAUAUUGCUGAAGAUUUCCCUGCUGUGUAAAAAUAUGUCUGUCGAAGGUAUACUUUGUGCUUUAGCACAUUCUUUCAUAAUCCAGCAAGUGUUUUCGGAGAAGCAUUUUUCCCUCUCCACAAUUUUUUCGCUGAUUCAAUAUGAUGUAUGAUGUAAUGCUAUGCAAUAUGAUGUGAUGGUAUGAUGCAGUAUGAUGUUUAUGCCAAAGAUGAACACCCACACGAAAACACACCCAGACUUUGCAUUCCCUUAGGAACGACUUUGGAGUCUCUUCACCUUUUACUUAGGUGGUAAUUCAGUUCUGCAAUCCCUUAGGAACGACUUUGGAGCUAAGCUCUGCAUCCCCUUAGGAACAACUUUGGAGCUUCUUCACCUUUGAUUUAGGUGGUAUUUAAGCUCUGCAUCCCCUUAGGAACGACUUUGGAGCUUCUUCACCUUUUACUUUGGUGGCAUUUUGGAUCUGCAUUCCCUUAGGAAUGACUUUUGAGCUUCGAAACUUACUCUAGGCUCCCUUAGGAACGUCUUUGUAGCUUCGAAACUUACUUUGCGUUCCCUUAAGAACGACUUUAUAACUUUAGAACUUAAUUCUGUCACACUCGAUGGUGUAACCACAGUAUUGUUUCAACAAGUUGAAAGUUAAUCCCUCCUGUAUUGUUUUUCUGGCAAGAAAAGAUAAAGGCAGAAAGAGUUAAGAUACAUUAGAUCAACAUAUUCUUUGGCCGAGCCGCCGUAGUCCCUUUAGUAGAUGUGCUUCGAUUCAGGCACAGUGUUGUUGACUGUGCGAGCUUCGGACUCCUCCCAAAGGUCGCGCUGUUGCUGAGUAUGAUUGUGCCCUUCUGAUUGCCGAUUGUGAACCAGCGGUGGUGGUGGUGGAAACUGAGGCCAGGAAGCUCGAGAAUGACUUACCGAAGCGACAGAAGCCGUAGGUUGUUGAUUUCCUACAUAUUCUGGGAUGUAUGGAGAGUAGCACGAAGCAGUAUGGAGGACUUGCUUCGGCUGACUCUGCUACGCCUCGGCUUCAACAAUUUCCUUUUGCUUCUGAAUUAUGACCUGACAUGUCCUUGUUGUAUGGCCAUUGCCCUCGCCACAAAAAAGGCAGUACAACUUUCUGGAUUGAUUGCCGAAGCUUCCUCCACUGAAGCUUCUUCCUCCUCUGCCUCUCGGAGCUGGUGGUCUGAAAGAAGUCUGCUGCAUGCUCGAAGACUAGGAGCUAUGAUGGCUGUUCUAAGCAUUAUUGGCCCUUUCAUCAUUGGCAUUGGAGUUAUGAAUUGACCGGACAUGUCAGGGAUGAAGUCUUCCUCCGAAGCACCUGGUCAUUUCAGAAAACCUGUAUGCUUCCUCCCUUCUUUGGCGAAAAUCAUUAUCGGUCUGGAUGUACUCAUCCAUCUUCUGAAAAAGCUUCUCAAGGGUUUAUGGGGGCUUCCUGGCAAAAUACUGGGCUGUAGGUCCUGGCCGAAGCCCCUUGAUCAUGGCCUCAAUGACAAUUUCAUUGGGCUAUAGGUGCUUGAGCUCUCAGCCGCAAGAACCUUUGGAUAUACGCCUGAAGGUACUCCUCAUGGUCCUGCGUGCACUAAAACAAAGCCUGAGCAGUGAGUGGCUUUGUUUGAAAGCCUUGGAAGCUAGUGACUAGCAUAUCCUUGAGUUUCUGCCAUGAUGUGAUUGUUCCUGGUAGAAAGGGAGGAGUACCAUGUCUGGGCCACGCUUCGGACUGCCAUGACGAAGGACUUCGCCAUGACAGCAGCGUUGCCCCCAUACGAGUAUAUUGUUGCCUCGUAGCUCAUCAAGAAUUGCUUUGGAUUUGAGUGCCCAUCAUACAUGGGCAACUGUGGUGGCUUGUAGGAUUGUGGCCACGGAGUAGCCUGCAAUUCUGCUGCCAGAGGAAAAGCAUCAUCAAAAGUAAAGUUACCAUGAUGAAAGUCAUUGUACCAUUCAUCUUCGUUGAAUGAGCUCUCCUGACGAAGCUCCCUGUGCUGAGGCCUACGGUCCUGGUCAUCUUGAGUAAGAUGACGCAUUUCCUUAGCGGCUUCGUCCAUCUUCUUCUGAAGAUCAGCCAGACGAAGCAUCUUCUCCUUUUUCCUUUGCACUUGUUGGUGGAUUGCUUCUAAAUCCCUGAUCUCCUUGUCAAUCUGCUCCUCCUGAAGAGUUAGGCUGGUGGCCUUUCUCUUUUGGCUCCUGGCCUCUCACAGAGAGAGUGCGUCCUAAUUUGUGUCCAGUGGCUGUAGCGCAGCCCCUGGCACCGUUGCCUUCUUCGGCGGCAUGUCAAAGGUGGAUGUUUUGCCAAAGGUUUGUGGAAGUGAGUUCACCGAAGGUGGGCGCCAAUGUCGGUCACUUGUUCUCAAAUGCUAUAAAUAAAGAACAAGGCAACGUAAUUGUUAAUGGUUAAAGGCCUUCGUCCUUCGAAGCAUUAUUUCCUCUCGGAUAUAAUGAUCUUCAGACGAAAGGGUCAUGAAGGACAUACCUUCAUCAUUUUAACAUAUGAAUGUGAAUAUAAAUAAGAAAGUAAAGGAACACAAAAGAAUAAAAAUUAUGAUGACAAUAUAUCAAUGAUCUAUUCAUUCUUAUAUUUCAUAAACAUGAAUAAACAUCAAUAAUAUUCAGGUUACAUCGGUAUCUUCGGCUUGCCAGAAGGUAAGGGUGCGAGAAUGACGCG
Molecule: long non-coding RNA, 8203 nt
Filed under: Zea mays
Lineage: Eukaryota; Viridiplantae; Streptophyta; Magnoliopsida; Poales; Poaceae
Description: long non-coding RNA (ZMAY_LNC003159)
Source: RNAcentral